CUUGUGAUUCCAAAUUCAAUUUAGUUGUAUAAUAUAGGUGUUGCACUAAAAUUACAUGUUACGAAGAAUGCUUGAGGCAGACACAUUGAACAUGUUAAUUUAUUUUCUCUAGAUAUAAUUGUGAUUUAAAUGCAAUAUGGAAAGCGAGUCUCCUAUCCAAACUUGCAAAAUAGUUGACCGCCAAGUCUACUAUUUAAAGUACGUACACAUACAAAAUUACAUAAGAAAAGUUAGCCUGUUGGAAUAUUUUACAAGUGCUACGUACAAAACAUAGUUCCAAAAUGCUGGAGGACUAAACCGUAGGUUUAGUAAAUGCUAGUAACCCACGUUCUGUACAGUGAAUCUGUAGGGACAUGUAUUGGUUAUACAGAAGUACAAGGGCUAACUGGAAUAAUGUCAAAGAGAUAAGGAUUUCCACAAUCAUCUCGCUAUCGUGUAUGGUUCCAAAUCGAGAGUUCUACCUGUCACCACCGAUGCUAGGGAUUUGCCCUCCAGCCAAAAAAUUGCGCUGCACGCGCCGGAGGAUUUGGUUGUUCUGCCGCCACCUCAUCUCAGGUCGUGGCCUCGAUGGGGCUGCGUCGGAAGGCACCGUGUUCUGGCCGGUUGAUGGAUGACCGCGCCGUGCAGCCGGAUGGAUCCGUCACUCCAAUCGCCGGUUGCGAUCUGCACCGUGCUGCUCCGCCACCGUCGUCUUGUGCGUUCGCUGGAGGGCAUUGCUGCAGCGUACCAGCCAAGGGCCGUGGCUUCCGGUGCGGACGAGCCGGAGGGCUUCGCCGCUGUCGUUGAAGGUCAGGGCUAGUAGCGUCGCCGAGCGUGCGCCGACCGUGGGCCGUCGUCACCACCACCGUUCACGGAACGAAGCUCCGACAGGUGUUGGUUGCGCACGCGCCGAUGUGAGCAGUCGGCCCCGCUAGAUCUCCAUGCGGCAGGAAGAAUCUCGUCGGAGGGGUCGUGGCCGCGUCGGCACGAAGGCCCUCCGUCGGGAUCAGCCGUGCGCCGCAUCUCACCGGAGAAUUGCAGUCGCCAGCCUUCAUACUACUUUUCUUCUUCUCCCUGUUUUCUCUUGGUCUGAUGCUCUCGAUAGAGACAUAGUCUAUGAUAACAUGAAAAGAAAUAGAGAUUGAAAGAAAGAAUGAAUUGAGAGAAUCGAGUGAUUGUAUUGAUGAUUGAGUUGGGUAUUUAUAUGUCUCCAACGGAUGCAUACAAAGGUCGGUUUAUAAGGAUUGUGUCCUCUCGAAGGGACGCAACUUUUGGACAAAAUUAACUACUGUACCUAAUUAGAUUAAGCUGUAAGCUAAUCUAAUAACUGCAUAGGUAGCUCAGGAGUUAAGUUAAUCUAUUCCUAACACAUCACUCCGGAAGGAGGGGUUUGAGAUGGCGGUGUGUAUGAGGUCACGUGUGGCAGUUGGAGGUUAGAGUGAACCUGUGUUACUAAAACUUAUAUUAGUACUCCCUUCGAUACAAAUUAUCUAAAGUUGUAAUAAAGCCAUGUCAAUCAAUUUGAAUAUAAGGGGGUCCUAGUUUUAGCCAUUACGUGAGAACAUAUUUCCCAUGUUCCAUAUUUCAGAUCUCCUACUAGCUUAAAUAACUCCCAUGAGCCCUUUGAAUCGAGGAUACACUAUCAGUGUUAUUGCAUAGGGUCUCCUCCCCCCCCCNCCCCCCCCCACCAUUUCACUUAGGCCCGAAGAUGGGUAUUUUAAGAUAUGAUGUUUUUUUUCAGUUACACGGUAAAAAUAAAGGGUUUGUUUUGUAAAACAAUGGGUAUUGUGUGACACGUCUGGUUACCACCUUCAGUAACCCAUGCAAUCAAGCUACAGUAAUAGCCAAGAUUUAGCUAAGCUAUUCUUGCUAAAUAGUGGUUGAUCACAUUUGGAAUCAUAUCUUAUUUCAAAUUCCUUUUGAAAUUCAAAAUUCAAUUAAUAAGUGAAUAAAUUCUUUUGGCAAACAUGAAAACUAAAAUCAUGAUUGGUUUUCAAAUAUUUACUAAGUAUUUAUAAAAUGGAAAUAACCUUUUUAUAAACUAUUUUAAUGCCUCAAAACUUAUAAGAGAGGCCAACACAAUUAUUUAAAUGUCUUUUAAAUUAUAGAAAUUAUAAAGUAUUUUAGUUGGUCCCAAACUCUUUGGGGCACAGUCUAAUAUUUCCACAUGAAUAUUUGACUAAGUGCCUUAUUUUACAAAAGCAAAUUGGCAUUAAAACAAUUGCAAUAGAAAUAAAUAAAUCUUAAACUAAAGCAGAAAUUAAAUAAAAGAAAAGGGCGAACCCAUGUUUCCCCUUCUCGGCUCUAGCCCACUAGGCCAAUAGGUCGGGCCACCUACCUCCCCCUUCUCCCUCCUCUCGCUAGAGUGGCUAGGGGAGGGGGAUGUCCACCACGAUGACCCCCGACCACACGUCGGCCGCCCUCCCCUUAAAACACUAGCGGACAAACCCCCCUCAACCCUAGCUCCACCCCCGUCCCCCUCUCCCCUCUUCCUCCUCCCUCUUCCGAGCCCGACGUCGCCGCAUCACCAACGUUUGCGCGCUCCGGCUCUACCCUGAGUCGUGCCCGAUCGUCCAGCAGCUCCACAGGGUUCCCCUUCUUCCUCUGGGAUGCUAGAUUGACGCGUGGGAGCAACAAUGAUGCCUCAUGUGUUGUUCCCCUCGCCAAGAUCCGCCUCGGCACACUCGUCUCCGACGAGCCCCAGCUUCCCCGAGCACCUCUCCACCUUCUCUGUGAGCCUGGUCCUCCUUGACUUCCCCCAUCUCCCCUUCACGCCCCGUUACUCCGUUGCCGAUGAGGUCGUGCCUCUACCGCCGCUCGACGCCAACUUGGUGGUUGUUUCCGACCGUCCCCGCUCCUGUUGUUCGUUCCAGUGGGUGCGCGUGAGGCCCUCGUCUGAUCCAUGCCAACCAUCGCUCAAAUGGUCGCAUGCAGCUCCACUUACGUCGAGCUCCUGUGUGCGCCACUGCUCGCGUUGAUGCCCUAGUAUGCUCCGACCAUCCCACGCUUGUGUAGCCGCCGUGGAUCAACGCGGUGCGUCACCGGCAACCGAAUGCACACAACCACGCAUCAAAUGGACGCCUGUAGCGGGUUUUCGGCCAAGUCCAGCCAAUGUCGCGGCUGUUUUAGUCACCGGAGGCACGUUGCCCGUUCAAACCACCUCGUGGACCACUCACACAUGGACCCUGCAGGGUUAGCGACUAAUAUGGCCGCUAAUCAACCACUGACAUGUGGGCCCAUUACUAUAGUGUUAGGAUUAGAUUAACUCUAACAAAUGACUAAUUGAGGCACUCACAAUUGGGCCCCACAUGCCAACGAACCCCUUUUAGCUAAUUUAAACACUCGUUAAACUCUUUGUGUAUGACAUGUGGGGCCCUAGCGCUAUUUUAAUGGAUAAGGUUGGCUGAGUGAGCUUGCUGACUCAGCUUCUUGCCCCACCAGUCAGUCUCUGUUGGCUGGGCAGUUGCCCCAGUCAACAUGGCCCAUAGUCAGCCCUUGUGGAAUUUGGUUGGGUAUACUUCUAGGUGUAUCUAGCAUUUAGCCACCUAUUUUUGAAAUUAAUAAUAAAUCCAAAAAUUGUAGAAUUUUGUUUAAUAUUUAUAAAAUCAUAUAAAAUAGAUUAUAACUCAGAUGAAAACAUUUCAUAUAUGAAAGUUGUUUAGAAAAAUCCGACGAAUCCGAAUACGUUGUCCGUUCAUGUGUCACAUGCCCCUAACAUGAUGAACAUGGAAUUUUUCUCUUCGGUUCAUCUGUCCGAUAAUAGCCAAAGACCCGGAAAGUAUUGUCAGAUAUCAUCCCGCUCCGUAUGCAACGGGUAGUACUGCGUUAGCGCAUCCCUAGUACUGCAUAUUGCCAUGUCAUGCAUCGUGAUGCACCUGCUUGCUUUUAUUUAUUGUUUUUUACCCCUCUUGUCUCUGGUAGACGUCGAAGCUGACGUUGUUUCCUGGUAUGACUACACCCCUGACGACCAGUCUUUUGCAGCAGAGCAACAAGGCAAGCAAAUGUCGGGACCCCGAUCCUAAGCCAUAGGAAUCCAGCCUGUAACACAUCACAUCUCUUUGCGGUCUCACACACGGUUAUCCCCACGGCUGCAGCCUUACCUUAGCCGGGACCGUUUGCGCCUUUUGACUCGCGUAUGUGAUUGUGUCGCUAGCAAUCCAAUGUCAAAGAAUCCGGAUCGACAUGACUAGUCAUAAACUAAAGUGGCAGUUCCGUACAGGGACAGACAUACAUGACCCAGCAAGCUACAAGGACUCCAUUACAUGCGCGUGACAUUUCCCAAAGGGACAGACACAACAGCUAAGAAGGACACAUGCCGGUCAACCAAUGUGUCCGGAGCAGUAGCGAACUACCAAGGCUCGACGGAAUCACAAAGGGGCAUUUCCCCGUAAGGAGUGCUACUUAGGCAUACGACUAGGUAAUCGAACCCCAUACAUAUCAAGUACAACACACGUACGCAUGGCAUACCGAUAUGUAUAGAUACAUUGAUGGCAUCACAACAUAACCAUAAACAUACAAACUUUAUUUAGAAGGCUCGGAAGAUCCACACACAUAAUAUUACAUAGGUAGGGGUCUCACGACCCAUCAUCAUGAUUCAUACACACAAGUCUUACAAGCCAGCGGAAGAGUAAAACUGUGUGAGUACAGACAGAUGGAAAGAUAAAGGCACAUGGCCUGACUAUCUACAAACCCAUCCUAGGGCCAGAUCGUAGCUGGGAUUCCAGCUACUCGUCGUCGUCGAUGUCUAGGUAGAACCCUCCACUAGGGUCAUUAACAACCUCUGCAACAAUUAUUAAGCAAAUGUGAGUACAAAAGUACUCAUCAAGACUUUAGGAAAUCUAUCUACUCAUGCAAUGUAUCAUCAAGGAGUUGUGGGGUUUCAUGCGGAAAGCCAGCAUUUGACUCUUGGCUAGGCAACUUGUAUUUUUAAAUAGUUUUGACAACGAUGUUUCUCGCACACGAGUCCACCAACACCACAACAAUACUCCAUCGUGGAAUCAUUCCAUCUCCCUACGGAAAUGCCGUCCACGACACUCACGCUUAUCUUGACAAUUUUAUGAGUAGCCAUUAUAGUUAUCUAUGAACAACAUAUGCUUCCAAGUAGUCCAUAUCCGUGGACGCGGCUAUUCGAAUAGAUCAUAACCCUGUGGGGGUGUACUACUUCACACACGCUCUCGCCACUUAUCACCAUGUGCACGUUUUGCACCUCGGCAACCUUCAAGCGGAAGCCCAGCGAGGGAGUCGGCCACGACCGUUAACCAUGCUAAUACUUAGUCCAGGUCUAUCGCCUAUCUGAGGGUAACCCGCACGGAAGUCCGGCCGAGGUUUCCGCCACGGCCCCAAAUGAUGUGCGCAGGGUUCCCAAGUCCACUAUCCGGGUGCCACUUGGUACACCGUGCCACUGCCUACCGCAUCAUAGCCCACCUCUAAGGUCAGCGCUACGCACGGCCUCCAGCAUGACUAUAAACACCAGAAACUACUUGCAACUCCUGGACCGAGUACUAAGCGAUUAAUAAGUCGAGAGGGUCAAUUAAGUAUCCCAACGUGUGGUAGUAUCUAGUCUUGGAUUACAUACACGGAACUUAGUUCCUAAGGACGGUUCCAAUGAAACAACCCGCUAUGUACUCCUACAUAGCCUUCCACCGGUACCUUUACCAAAUCAGGUUCAACACACCACCUUUAAUAACCGAACACAUUCUCACGAUCCUGUUCAUCACCCAGAUGAUAGACCAUACUCAACUCUAAGCAUAGCAUGCAUAGCAGCAUAAGGCACAUCAUGGCUCAAGCAUCUACCAGGUAUGCUAGGUUGCAACGUUCAGCUAUUUACUGUGACAAGGACAUGUCAUGCAAAGGAAGUGGGUUCAACUAACGUGAUAAAAGCAGUGAAUGCAUUUUGACCUAAUGCAAGAAACAAGAGCAGGAGCGAGAACAUGGGAUUUAUUAGGAUGAUCAAAAUGGUUGCUUGCCUUGUUGCUGAGCAGAGGGAUAAUAUCUGUCAGUCGGAUAUUCGGUGGAAUCUGGAGGAGCGGGGCCUACCGGUAAAAACAGCAUCAAUCAAUAACAUUCAUAUGCAACAAGAUGAUGCAUGAGCAUGGCAUGAAAAUGAAAGGUGGUAGGCUAAUGUAGCUACCUUUUCUUAAGUUGAAGUUGAUUUGAAUCAAGAUUCAAAUAUCAUUUCAAACAAGGUAUUUUUCGAAUACCCUUUUAAUUGAUUCGACCUGAUGCUCAGGUAAUCUUGUUUUAGCAUGCAUGAGGAUGGUACGUUGGGGUGCUGGUUGUGCUUGAUCAUUGUUUGGUCAUAAUAUUUGAAGUGGAAUUCAAAUGGAUUUCAAAUUCCAACUCCAAUUAUUUAAUAAGGCUAUCCUAUUCAUCAUUUUAUCUGUUUGGUGAUGUUAACAUUUUCAAACAUGUUUGAAAAAUAUUAAAAUCAGAUUCCUUGGAUUUUUCUGAUCAUUUUUCAUAUAUAAAUUAUUUUCAUUGGAGUUAUAAAUUAUUUUCUAUGAUUUUUAGAAGUUUUGGGCAUUUUCUAGAAUUCUUUUAAAUCAGAAAACUCUUUAUUGCGUCAGAUCUACGUCAGCAUUGCGUCAGCAGUCGGCCGACCUGGUCAGGUCAAACCUGACAGGUGGGGGCCAUUGGUCAGCGACACAGGGGAUAAUCCCACGCUGACCAGCCCCUAAGUGGGUAUGACCCACCACUAGGGCCACUGCCAGCGUCUAAUUAGCGCUAAGUAAUCGGGGAUUAGCUGGCCAUGUCGUCCCCUGCCGGAGACUGACCGGCGGCGACCAGAUCCCCGGCGGAUCUUCGCCGGAGAAGCACCAGAGCUUGCUGUGGUGCUCGAAUCGAGUGCCGAGAGCACUUGGAUGAUCCCCAGGCUCGGCCUCAUCCACUACAGGCUUCAGGAGGGACUGAGGGUGGCUGGAGAUCACCGGCGACGAGCCGAGGCGGCUGACGGAGCUCGGGCUCGUCGGUCUCGUGGCUAGAGUGCAAGAAAGCGAGGGGAAACGCGCGCGAGCUCACGGUGGAGACGAUGGGAGGAUGAGACGGCUCGGGGAGGUGCUGUGGACGGUGAUUCAAUGGAGACUUGCCGGCGGCCGGAGGUUGAAGUCGACGACGAUGUGGCGCAGCAGAGCUCGGGGAGGUUGAUUCCUUCGGCGUACACGUCGAGCUUGACGAGGCGGAGAGGAUGGAGCACUCGGGGAGGGUUCCCUGUGGCUAGAGGGCUCGGGCGCCUCAAGUUCAAGCUCCUGCUAAUGGCAGCAGGGAGAAGAGAGAAUAAAACCGAGAGAGGGGGAAGAAUGGAGAGCGGGGGAGGAUAAGGACGCGCUCGGGGGACUCAUUCCCGACGUCGCACUGUCCUGGGGGCACCACGGAGCGCCACGGCGAAGCAGGAGGUGGUGGGGAGCCGCCGUGGUCGAUCUCUCCUCUGCCAGAAGGCAGAGGAAGAAGAUGACCCUGCCCCUGUGGGCUGGGCCUCUACAGGUGAGCGUAGGAUAGAUUUUUUUCUUUUUCUUCUAUUUCUGUUUUCUGCUUUAUUUGGUGAUAUUAAUUGCUAUUUAUUUUGGCUUCAAAAAGCAAUUCAAAAAUUAGUUUGAAUAGCCCUCAGUGUUAGUUGGAAUAUUCCCAACUACUCCUAAAGUUUUCAACAUUUUUGAAAACUUGAAUGUUUUUGAAUUCAAAUUUAAGUUUGAAUUCAGGGGCUUUCUGAAUUUGAAUAAAAUGCCAAGGGUGUUUUGAAAAUAGUUUUCUCUCGUGAUAAUUUGUUUUCAAUAUUUAUCAGAAAAGAUGAACUUUUCUUGAGGCCAUUUUGGGUUCAUUGAUUUUGGCAAGUUUAAUUUCCUUUGAAUUAAGAAGUGGCUAGGGUUUUUGGGUUGUGUUUCACCACUUCCUUUGGGUUUGUUUCAAUUACUUGGAUGCAAUGGAAAACAUGAGCACAAUUACUAAACCUAAUAGGGAUCAAGGAUGUGACAACAAGGACCCCUUGAUCAUUUCUACAUCACCCAUUCUUUCUCCCUCAUGCUUGCAUUAGAUUUUUGCUACUGUUGUAGAUAGCUCCUAUUUUGAUGCAUAACAUGUUUUUGUUAAACUGCUAUUGUACCCUACUGGAUAUCAAAUGCUUAGUAUAGGUGGAUUAGUGAUCCCUAGUGACCCCACUUAGUCUCAGUUGCCCUUGCUUCAUCAUCGAAGAGUCGAAGAUUCGAUCAACUGAUCGACAAGCCAUGACUCAUCACAUCACCUCACACCCCAAGUCCUACAACUCUGCACAUCUACUAUCGAAUACCAAGGGUGACACCUCAUUAUGUACUCCUGAUGUUAGCUUUGAAGUGUAGUUAACAGGAGAUGAAUUACGGAGGGUGAUUCCUCCUUCACCACUUCCGAUAACGACUCUCUCGUGCAACCCCUCAAGGGUGAACCAUCGAGGGUGAUUCCUCCAUCGUUACCUUGACGGUUAUGUCGAUUGGAAUCCAUUGAGGGUGAUUCCUCGGAUUCCUAUGAUGUUAUAGACACACGGUUACUUCCACUUUACUAGUGGAACACGAUGAGAUGAGUGGUGCGGGUGGAUUCCCGUGUGAUUGUGACGAGGCGUGGUUGGGCAUUCUUGGCCCUUGCCACACAUUCUCGAGACGGGGCGGCGGGACCACACAUCAUGGACCAUUGAUCAUCACCAUAGUUAACAAGACAUUAAUGGGAUUGGGUAUUUGAUGUGAGUUGGUCGUUUGACCUAUACGCACUAACCUUCAUGUGGGGACAGUUAUGGGCACUGAGUGUCAUGGGCAAAUAGCUUAGCAUAGUUCUGAUGUCAGUCUUGCAAGUACUUUGGAUGAGUACUCACUGUUGCUUUGCUCCCCUUUUUCCUCUUGAUACGAUUGCCGCGACCAGAUGACGGAGCUUCGGAGAUGGUUGAUUCCACCGACGACUACUACCCCGAUGAAGCCUCAACCACUAACAACCCGGAGUAGUUAGGAGGCUCCCACGCAGGAGGCCUUGGCUUUUUUAUCUGAUUUUAUGUUUGUGCUAGCUUUCUUAAGGAAAGACUUGUUUACUUAUGUUUGUACUCAUAUAUUAUUUGCUUCCACUGACUCGUGUGUAUUCGAGCUUAUGCAUUCGAGCCCUUGAGACCCGUGGCUUGUAAUAUGAAGCUUGUCUGACUUUAAUUUGUGUAUAGAGUUGUGUUGUGAUAUCUUCCCGUGAGUCCCUAAUUUUGGCCGUACACAUUUGUGUUUAUGAUUAGUGUAGGAUUAAGUUGGGGGCGUCACAAGUUGGUAUCAGAUCCGACUGCCUAUAGGUAGCCCCGUUUCCAACUCCGUGGCCAAAGUUGAGUCUAGUGUUUGAAAAACUUUACUAACAUUAUUGUGUGGCUUACGGGCCCACAUCUCAAUCAGGUGGUAUUAGGGUCUUUUACUCCUCUUCUAUACUGUUUGUUCUAAUCUCUAUUCUAUUUCGGGUUAGAGAUUUUGCUAACUCUAAAUCUAGGUUCUCAUAACUACUUCCCCCAGGAGAGACCCUCAUUCGAGUCGAUGGCUUGAAUCAUCAGACGCCUCCGAAGAUAUUCUCCGAAGUUCUCCCGAGGACUUCUGCUCAUUGCUUUUGCGAUUUUUGUCCUCUGUCAACCCCUAUGGAUGAUUGCAUACAAUUUUCAUCCAUACUUUCUUUUCCAAUUGCUCUUGUUUUUACAAGGCACAUCAAAUUAUCUUCCCAGAGAUUCGUUCAUCCUUUGUUGUCAUGGAUUUCGCAUGUCCUUUGAAUUGCUAUUCGAUCUUUCGAAAUCCUUAGUAGCCUAUUGCUCUUGAGCAUUCUCACCUGCUUGUAUUAUGGUUAAUUCCAUAUUGGAAGGAUCGAGAUGGACCUGGAGGGGGGGGUGAAUAGGUACAAUUACAAAUUUUAAUUGUUUCUUAGCAAUUUUAGGCAAUAAUGCGGAAUAUGAAGGUGAGCCUAACAAUUGCAAAGAUGGUAGUCGUGCUACGCGUACUAAGAAAUUCAACAAUUAAUUAAAGAGUUAAGCACAAGUAAUGCAAGUAGAAUAAGAAAUAUCACAAAGACGAAUAACUACAAGUAGAGAGUUAGGGUUUGGGAUAACCGCAAUUCUGAGAGAUGAAGAUGUAUGUAGAUGUUCACUUCCUUGGAGGGAAGCUACGUCACCGUUUAGAGAGGUGGAUGUUACCACGAAGGCACGCCAACACCACGAAGGCUCACCCUAUUCUCUCUUUGAGACAACAUUACGAAGGCGAUUCUCAACCACUAGUGGUAGACCUUGGGGUGGUCUCCAAACCCUCACAAACUUUCCGAGGGUAAUCACGAUGAACGAUUCCUCGCCGGAGUACUCCUACCGCCUAGGAGUCUCCAACCUCCAAGAGUAACAAGAUGCGCCUAAAAACAAGGGGGAUCAACUUUUGCUUUGGUUAAUGUGUAGAUCACGCACUCCUCCUUCACUUCUCAAAAGAUCAAGAGAUUUUGUUGGCUAAGGAGGCAGAAAUCCAAGAAAUAAAGGUCUAAAAAUGGUGGAGAGAGAAAAAUGGAGUUGCUACCGCGCUAGAGGAAGACAAAGGCUAUUUACAGGUGGGGAAGAAAUCCAGCCAUUGGGGGCCAGAUUUCUGCCAACCCGAGAAUUUCUAGGGGGACCAGAGGUUCCGGACCCCGGAAGUUCCGGCCAGAAUCCGGGCAGGUUCCGGCUUAAACAGAAAUUUUGCACCCGGUUGGAGUCCCUCGGAAGCACUCAAUAUGAGGACGGAAGAUCCGGAGCCUGGAAGCUCUGGACGACCAGGAAGUUCCGGCUCUGAGAAGUUCCAGCCAGGGUCCGGCCUCUAUAGAAACUUUGCACAGAGACUGGCAGUUUUUCUGGUUGCCCCGGAAGUUCCCGAGACCUUUUGGUCCCGAGAAGUUCCGGCCGUCCCGGAAGUUCCGGCCUAGACAUAGGAUUUGCAUUGUCAAUUUUAGCGGAUUUGAGAAAUGGUUUUCGAGAACUUAUUUUUAUGAAGAGUUGAUUCCCAGAUAAUUUUCACGAUGCAUCCCCUCUUAAUAGUGCGGUUGCCCUAAGGACUCAAGAAAGAAAGAAAAAGUUGGCACUCCGUCUUUUUCCUUUUUCCGAGUAGAGGGGAAAUAACCAUCCAUGUUUCUCUUUACUUUUGUUGGAGAUGUUUACACUAGAGCAUGUGGUUAGAAAUACAAAUGAGAUUGUCAUAGAUGUCAAAAAUAAUUAAGGGCAAUGAUGCACUUUCAAUCUUCCCCUUUUUGACAUAGAUGAUAAUAAUGCUUGAGAGGGUAGGCACACAAAGUAUGUAUUUUAUAGAGCAUUUUUUAUGAAAGGAAAUAGCUUCCCCACAACUUAUGCCUUAUUUUAGAUUUAUAUUUGAAUGUUAAAGACACAAUUGGAAGUAGCUCCCCUCACACUGUGCUACCAAUACAAUCAGGACAUAGCAACAUGAAAUGAUUUACUAACCUUAAUUUUUCUGUGUGACGACACAUAUAUGGAAGAUGCCUUGCAGUACAUGUAACCCAUAAAGUGUACACACAUGGAUAGAUAGUUUUUAACAAAAACACAACGGUAAGGAUCAAAUAGUAGCAAGUAAAGCAAAGGUAGAAAAUAAAGCAAGGAUAGCAAAUAAGAGA
Molecule: long non-coding RNA, 11583 nt
Filed under: Hordeum vulgare
Lineage: Eukaryota; Viridiplantae; Streptophyta; Magnoliopsida; Poales; Poaceae
Description: long non-coding RNA (HVUL_LNC007592)
Source: RNAcentral